AACGAACGCUGGCGGCAGGCUUAACACAUGCAAGUCGAACGCAUCGCAAGAUGAGUGGCAGACGGGUGAGUAACGCGUGGGAACAUACCCUUUUCUACGGAAUAGCUCUGGGAAACUGGAAUUAAUACCGUAUACGCCCUACGGGGGAAAGAUUUAUCGGGGAAGGAUUGGCCCGCGUUGGAUCAACUAGUUGGUGGGGUAAAGGCCUACCAAGGCGACGAUCCAUAGCUGGUCUGAGAGGAUGAUCAGCCACAUUGGGACUGAGACACGGCCCAAACUCCUACGGGAGGCAGCAGUGGGGAAUAUUGGACAAUGGGCGCAAGCCUGAUCCAGCCAUGCCGCGUGAGUGAUGAAGGCCUUAGGGUUGUAAAGCUCUUUCACCGAUGAAGAUAAUGACGGUAGUCGGAGAAGAAGCCCCGGCUAACUUCGUGCCAGCCGCCGCCGUAA
RNAcentral lists this ribosomal RNA (447 nucleotides) under uncultured bacterium. RNAcentral's name for it is "partial 16S ribosomal RNA". It matches the Rfam family "Bacterial small subunit ribosomal RNA", at positions 29 to 523 of the family's 1533-position model. The record is from RNAcentral.